GCAAUGUUGGGAAAACAAUGCUGGAGACUCCUUACAGUGCCACAUUCUCUUUGUGCAAGGGUGCUAAAUGGCCGUUAUUUUCCUCAUUGUGAUUUCUGGUUGGCACCACAGCCAAGAAGUUCAUCUUUUACAUGGCGAAGUCUCAUGCAUGGGAAGAAGCUACUGGAAAAAGAUGAAGAAUCUGGUGAUUGGAAUGAGGGCCUUAUUCGAACAUGCUUCACAGAAGGUGAUGCAGAUAAGAUCCUACAAAUUCCAUUGAGCAAAACAGCCUGUGAGGAUUUCCCAGCCUAGCCACAUUCUAAAACAGAGGAGAGAAUUCAGAUCAAAAGGAAACUUCUAAAAUGUGGAAACGUCUUUGGUCCAUUAAGGCGCCGCCCAAGAUGAAAGUUAUGCUAUGGAGGAUGGCUCAGGACUGUUUGCCGACAGAUGGUGCUACUGAUGAGGAUGCAACGGUCUUUACCAUCACAGCCUGUCAUAUUUGGGAGGCAAGAAAUGCGCAACAUUUAAAAAUCCACCUCGUAUGGGUGUUGGUUUGGUGGUUCGUGAUCAUAGAGGUGAUUUCAUUGCUGCGUGCUGUCAGUUAAUACAAAGAUUCGAUGACCCAGAGCUAGCUGAAGCAAUAGCCAUAAGGAGAGCUGUCUCCUUUUCCUUGGAGCAAAACUUGCAGCAAGUUGUUGUGGCCUCGGACUGCUUAAGUGUUAUCAAGAAGAUAAAAUCCAAGGUCCAUGAUAGAUCUCAUGUGGCGAUCAUUAUUCAGGAUGUUAGAAACUUAAUCAGUGAAAAUCCUUCUGUAACAUUUACCUAUGUUAGUAGGUGGUGUAAUGAGGCAGCUCAUGUUAUAGCUAAGCAAGCUGAUGUGUUUAAAGAUGUAAUUUGGUUUAAUGAGCCUCCAGAAAUUAUUCGGAACAUAAUAUGUAAUGAACGCUUGGUUUAAUAU
Molecule: long non-coding RNA, 937 nt
Organism: Panicum virgatum (switchgrass)
Lineage: Eukaryota; Viridiplantae; Streptophyta; Magnoliopsida; Poales; Poaceae
Exons: 5
Source: RefSeq, a predicted model, not a curated record